AAAUUGAAGAGUUUGAUCAUGGCUCAGAUUGAACGCUGGCGGCAGGCCUAACACAUGCAAGUCGAGCGGUAGCACAGAGAGCUUGCUCUCGGGUGACGAGCGGCGGACGGGUGAGUAAUGUCUGGGAAACUGCCUGAUGGAGGGGGAUAACUACUGGAAACGGUAGCUAAUACCGCAUAAUGUCGCAAGACCAAAGUGGGGGACCUUCGGGCCUCAUGCCAUCAGAUGUGCCCAGAUGGGAUUAGCUAGUAGGUGGGGUAACGGCUCACCUAGGCGACGAUCCCUAGCUGGUCUGAGAGGAUGACCAGCCACACUGGAACUGAGACACGGUCCAGACUCCUACGGGAGGCAGCAGUGGGGAAUAUUGCACAAUGGGCGCAAGCCUGAUGCAGCCAUGCCGCGUGUGUGAAGAAGGCCUUCGGGUUGUAAAGCACUUUCAGCGGGGAGGAAGGCGGUAAGGUUAAUAACCUUGGCGAUUGACGUUACCCGCAGAAGAAGCACCGGCUAACUCCGUGCCAGCAGCCGCGGUAAUACGGAGGGUGCAAGCGUUAAUCGGAAUUACUGGGCGUAAAGCGCACGCAGGCGGUCUGUCAAGUCGGAUGUGAAAUCCCCGGGCUCAACCUGGGAACUGCAUUCGAAACUGGCAGGCUAGAGUCUUGUAGAGGGGGGUAGAAUUCCAGGUGUAGCGGUGAAAUGCGUAGAGAUCUGGAGGAAUACCGGUGGCGAAGGCGGCCCCCUGGACAAAGACUGACGCUCAGGUGCGAAAGCGUGGGGAGCAAACAGGAUUAGAUACCCUGGUAGUCCACGCCGUAAACGAUGUCGAUUUGGAGGUUGUGCCCUUGAGGCGUGGCUUCCGGAGCUAACGCGUUAAAUCGACCGCCUGGGGAGUACGGCCGCAAGGUUAAAACUCAAAUGAAUUGACGGGGGCCCGCACAAGCGGUGGAGCAUGUGGUUUAAUUCGAUGCAACGCGAAGAACCUUACCUGGUCUUGACAUCCACAGAACUUAGCAGAGAUGCUUUGGUGCCUUCGGGAACUGUGAGACAGGUGCUGCAUGGCUGUCGUCAGCUCGUGUUGUGAAAUGUUGGGUUAAGUCCCGCAACGAGCGCAACCCUUAUCCUUUGUUGCCAGCGGUUAGGCCGGGAACUCAAAGGAGACUGCCAGUGAUAAACUGGAGGAAGGUGGGGAUGACGUCAAGUCAUCAUGGCCCUUACGACCAGGGCUACACACGUGCUACAAUGGCAUAUACAAAGAGAAGCGACCUCGCGAGAGCAAGCGGACCUCAUAAAGUAUGUCGUAGUCCGGAUUGGAGUCUGCAACUCGACUCCAUGAAGUCGGAAUCGCUAGUAAUCGUAGAUCAGAAUGCUACGGUGAAUACGUUCCCGGGCCUUGUACACACCGCCCGUCACACCAUGGGAGUGGGUUGCAAAAGAAGUAGGUAGCUUAACCUUCGGGAGGGCGCUUACCACUUUGUGAUUCAUGACUGGGGUGAAGUCGUAACAAGGUAACCGUAGGGGAACCUGCGGUUGGAUCACCUCCUUACCUUAAAGAA
Molecule: ribosomal RNA, 1550 nt
Filed under: Klebsiella pneumoniae
Lineage: Bacteria; Pseudomonadati; Pseudomonadota; Gammaproteobacteria; Enterobacterales; Enterobacteriaceae
Description: bacterial SSU rRNA
Rfam family: Bacterial small subunit ribosomal RNA
Source: RNAcentral